GCGAUGUGGUCGAGUGUUAAGAACACUUGCCUCUCACUCUGGAGUCCAGGGUUCGAUCCCCGGUUGAGGAGCU
RNAcentral lists this transfer RNA (73 nucleotides) under Rhamnusium bicolor. RNAcentral describes it as "tRNA-OTHER". The record is from RNAcentral. Lineage: Eukaryota; Metazoa; Arthropoda; Insecta; Coleoptera; Cerambycidae.